GGCUGUGAAGAUGAUCUGGCUGCUCCAUCUGUCGCUGCAUUGAUUUCCUGGGUUGCUUUGACUGAUCUGGUUGGCUAGGCAGGCGUCCCCUUCCUCUCUCACUGCUCCACACGCAUCUCUCCUGAAGCUUAGGACUGGGUUGAAGAGGAGGACAAUCCUUACAGAGGAGGACAAUCCUUGGGUCAAGGAUGUUCAAGUAGCUGCACACCCCUGCUAGAACCUUCAAACAUAAUGGCAUUUUUCCAUGACCUUUUUGAAACCCCCCCUUAUAUAUAUUUGUAUAUGUAUAAAAAUAU
Molecule: small RNA, 296 nt
Filed under: Echinops telfairi (small Madagascar hedgehog)
Lineage: Eukaryota; Metazoa; Chordata; Mammalia; Afrosoricida; Tenrecidae
Description: 7SK RNA (ENSETEG00000024175.1)
Rfam family: 7SK RNA
About the family: 7SK was discovered as an abundant small nuclear RNA in the mid-70s but a possible function has only recently been suggested. Two independent studies have found that 7SK RNA binds the CDK9/cyclin T complex (known as elongation factor P-TEFb). P-TEFb activates transcription by phosphorylating the C-terminal domain of RNA polymerase II.
Source: RNAcentral